GACCUACGGGAGGCAGCAGUGAGGAAUAUUGGUCAAUGGCCGGAAGGCUGAACCAGCCAAGCCGCGUGAAGGACGAAGGUGCCAAGCAUUGUAAACUUCUUUUGUCAAGGGACAAAAUCAGGCUCGAGAGCCUGACCGUGGGUACUUGAAGAAAAAGCAUCGGCUAACUCCGUGCCAGCAGCCGCGGUAAUACGGGGGAUGCAAGCGUUAUCCGGAUUUAUUGGGUUUAAAGGGUGCGUAGGCUGUGAGGUAAGUCAGCGGUGAAAUGCCCCCGCUCAACGGGGUGAAGUGCCAUUGAUACUGCC
RNAcentral lists this ribosomal RNA (305 nucleotides) under uncultured bacterium. Its description in RNAcentral is "bacterial SSU rRNA". It matches the Rfam family "Bacterial small subunit ribosomal RNA", at positions 334 to 637 of the family's 1533-position model. The record is from RNAcentral.